RNAcentral lists this ribosomal RNA (1155 nucleotides) under Triticum aestivum (bread wheat). RNAcentral describes it as "partial small subunit ribosomal RNA". Lineage: Eukaryota; Viridiplantae; Streptophyta; Magnoliopsida; Poales; Poaceae. The record is from RNAcentral.
AUGACCUACUGGCCCUCUGUUAAAAACCUCGUCCUCCCUUUCUUCUCACAAUUCCAUCAAGGCACAGCCGACACGGAACGAGUUAACAGAACUCAUAUUGUUCUGCUUCCCAAAAAAGACCAGCCUACUUCUCCUGACGCUUUCCGGCCCAUCUCACUUCAAAAUUGCCCAAUCAAAGCUGUUGCUAAAGUCCUGACCACUCGCCUCAAGCCAUUCAUCCCGCUACUAGUUCACGGCAAUCAGACGGGAUUUAUACCAGGUAGGAACAUAGCUGAGAACUACAUUUUCGCCACAGACCUCAUUAGCUCAUGCCACACUAGGAAAAAACCUACCAUGGUCUUCAAACUAGACUUCAGUAAAGCUUUUGACUCGGUUGCAUGGCCUGCCCUCGACAAAAUCCUUCUCGCCUGAGGCUUCUCGCCCACCUUCCGCAGCUGGAUCCAAAACAUCCUUGCCACAGGCAAAACCGCCAUUCUUCUGAAUGGUAUCCCAGGCAACUGGAUUGACUGCAAAAAUGGUCUGCGUCAGGGCGAUCCCAUCUCCCCCUAUCUCUUCCUGAUCGUAGCAGACCUGCUCCAACAGCUUAUCCUCAAAACACCCCACGCCUCGGUCCAUCACCCUAUCUUCUCUCAUCUACCACCCACCGUUCUACAGUACGCAGACGAUACUCUGAUCGUUGCCGCCGCCUUAGCUGAUGCCGCUGUCGCUUUAAAAGGAAUACUAGACCGCUUUGCCAAUGCCACUGGCUUAGCCAUAAACUUCUCCAAAAUGACGAUUGCCACUCUCCACUUGGACGACGCUGCAGCUAAUGACGCCGCCUUUGCCAUGGGUUGCUCUCGCGCCUCCUUCCCCCAAACCUACCUCGGGCUCCCUCUCUCCCCUACGAAACCUCCCUCCAAUGCCUUCGACCCCAUCCUAGAACGCUCCCGCAAACUGCUGUCUGGCUGGCGUGCUAAGUUACUUGACAAAGGUGACCACCUCAUUCUAAUCUCCGCAGUCCUUGACUCCCUCCUUACCUAUUUCAUGUCUGUCUUUCGCCUUCCCAAGAAACUCUUAAAAAAAUCGACUCCAUCCGUAGAGCCUUCUUCUGGGCAGGAGAAGAUUCAGUUUCAGGCGCUCAAUGCCUCGUUGCAUGGAAAAAUCUUUGCAUUCUAA